CCAGGAAGGGACGUUCGGCGGUUUUCGUCUCUGUGUGAUUUGUGCGGGAGGCCCUCUGGGCGUCCCGGCAUCCCUGGGCGGGGGGAGAGGCGGGUGGGAGCAUCCCACAGCCGCCCAGGUGCGGGGCGGACGGCGGACUCGGGCGGGGACUGCGGUCUGGGCGGUGACCUGUGGGACCUGACGGCGUCCAGCUGCCGGAUCGCGGGUGGAGACGCCGGCUGCCACGGGGUGGGCUCCUGCGCCCUGGGACUCGGGGCUUGCGGUCAAGGAGGUCUCACGAUGCCGGGGAGUGGGAAGCGCUCGGGGCUGGCGGAGGAGGCAACUGCCCCUCUGUAAGUGGGACUCGGUGUCCUACCGGGAUACUCCGUCCUGACGAGUGCUUCGAGCCUUGUUUGGGGCUCCUGGCCUCCCUGCUGGACUGAUCUUCGCUCACAUAGCCCAGGUGUCAUAGUAAUGAUUAACAAUAAAUAAAAGUGAUGAACAAUGACUGUCACUGUGCGUUAGACCUGGGGUGGGUACUCAGGUGUAUCCGCAGGAACAGGCUUGAGAGUGAUUGAGUUGUGUGUCUAGCGUCAUUUAGGAGAAGUGGGUUAGCCGGGAUCUGUUCCCCACCAGGCUGCCAAAGCAGUUCCUAUAAAAUUCCGUUGUAGUGCACUUAACCGUAUCGCAUCAUAAUUUCGGGAUAAAAACUGGGUUUUAUUAUUAUUAUUAUUAUUAUUAUUAUAUUAAUAUAAUAUAUACUAUUAUUUCAUGUCCAAAUGGGAGGUAAGAAUUGGGACCCGUUAGCCUCUAUCCCUAAUGCUUAGCACAAGGCCUGGCGCAUUGUAGAUCUUCUCAUUGGAGUGUCUUUCCUGAACAGUGGGGAUCCCCGUUUCCAGAACAGUUUGGAUCAGCUGUGAGGAACUGGGUUGCUUUCCCCAGACCACAGAUCAGAACCCCAUUGGCUGUUUUCCUUCCAUCACCAGUUAAAGUCUCUAUAUAUUACCAGUCGAAGACCUUGUCUUCCGGGUGAUUGAUUAGUCAUUCAAGUAAACAUGGGCUCCAAAGGCUAUAUCCCAAGUGAUUCUGUUCAGUUUUUUUAUCCUGACCUUUCAAUUUCCUUUCCCCAAUUACGGAUAUCUCUUGGGGAAGACAUUAUUGCUCUUAUACUCAUUUUCGUGUGAAGUGUGUCAAGUCUGUGUGUCAUCUUCCCAACCUGAGGGGUCAGCUCCUUGAGAAUGAGGUGCCUGCCGCCUGAUUCCUCGUUCCUCCCCUCGACCACAGCAGACGCGGAGUUCGUGUCUGCUAAUGGCUCAUUUCAUUCCAGUUCCGCAGCCAGACUAGCGAGUUCCAAGCCAUGAGCACAAUUUGCAAUUGUGUCCUGUGAGAUGGACGGGAACACGUGAUGCCAGUUGGGCAGGGACCACAAAUGACUCAGAUUCUGAAGCAGUUUGUUCUCCUGGUGGUGAUUCCUAAAGUCUCUAGGAAGCUUGUGGGGGCGCCCAGGACUCUGCAUUCACUGUUGCACUUGGAAUGCGAGGAGAAUCAGAGAAGGAGAAUGACAGCUCUUUGAGAACAGGAGCUCCCUCCCUCCUGGUCACCACGGCAUCCCUGUGGCCUGGCAAGGCCUGAAGGACAUGACGAGAGGAUCCAGGGUGAGCGCGAAUCAGGGCUGCAGAGGAAGGGGGUGUGCCGGGGCCAGACUGUGCAGGACAGGAGAAGUUAGAAGAGGAACCCAAGGCAGAGAGGUCAAGCUUUGUCCCCAAGAUCUCUUGGCGUCCCAGAGAGGGAAGCCCCUUUGACAAUGACCGUCCUCACUCUGGAGCCGGGACGCGACUCCCGCGUGAAAAGGUUCACAAGGGACCAGCCCCCUGGGAGCACUGUUCUGGGAGCACUAUUCUGACCACAACAGGUGGCACAAAGUGAGUCUGACAGGAGCUUCAUGGCUCGAGAAUCCUGGCAGGUGUACAGGUGUCCCCCAAGUGACAGGCGACAUCUGGAGACCUGACGGAGUGCCAGGCCCCACAGGGAGAUGCCCUGCGAGCUAGGUCUUCAAAGGAACCCCAGCCCAAGCUUAAAUCCAUCAUGCCUGAGCAAAUGUGUCCUUCUUGGGAAGUACCUGUUCUGUUUAAAUGCCUUCUAUAUGCAAAGUUUGUCCUUUUAGCUAUUUUGUUAAAUGUUCAUAAUGGAUAAACUUCGAAAACUG
Long non-coding RNA from Lutra lutra (Eurasian river otter), 2185 nucleotides. RefSeq lists it as uncharacterized. The record is from RefSeq and is a predicted model, not a curated record. The transcript is spliced from 5 exons. Lineage: Eukaryota; Metazoa; Chordata; Mammalia; Carnivora; Mustelidae.